RNAcentral lists this long non-coding RNA (286 nucleotides) under Coffea arabica (coffee). RNAcentral describes it as "long non-coding RNA (CARA_LNC008199)". Lineage: Eukaryota; Viridiplantae; Streptophyta; Magnoliopsida; Gentianales; Rubiaceae. The record is from RNAcentral.
AUGCUACCAUGCCGAGCAAUUUGCAUCAUUCUUUAGAAAUGUUUGAGAGAGUCGAUGAAUGCUUGGAUUCCUAGGAGAAACUUUGUAUAUAACUUUUUUUGAAAUCAGUUUUCAUGGAGAAUGGACUCAUCUGUUUUACAAUGUUGGGAAUGUGGUGUGAUGGAGAGCAGCCUUUUAGCGUGAGGCUCAUGUAUCACUUCUGUACUGAUAUGGUAUAACCCCAUAAUAUGUGCCCAAAAGAUGUAUGGUUUCUGGCUUUCCCUGAUGUUAGGAAAUUUUGAUUGCA